ACACGUGAGCAUAGUAUAAUAUUAAAACAUUAAGCUGUGGACUUAAAAAUAAAGAUAUAAUCUUUUGCACACC
RNAcentral lists this transfer RNA (73 nucleotides) under Hemidactylus fasciatus (banded leaf-toed gecko). RNAcentral describes it as "tRNA-His". It matches the Rfam family "tRNA". From Rfam's summary of the family: Transfer RNA (tRNA) molecules are approximately 80 nucleotides in length. Their secondary structure includes four short double-helical elements and three loops (D, anti-codon, and T loops). The record is from RNAcentral. Lineage: Eukaryota; Metazoa; Chordata; Lepidosauria; Squamata; Gekkonidae.